This 497-nucleotide ribosomal RNA is filed under the name uncultured bacterium. RNAcentral's name for it is "partial 16S ribosomal RNA". It matches the Rfam family "Bacterial small subunit ribosomal RNA", at positions 28 to 507 of the family's 1533-position model. The record is from RNAcentral.
GACGAACGCUGGCGGCGUGCCUAAUACAUGCAAGUCGAGCGAACAGACGAGGAGCUUGCUGCGUUCACGUUAGCGGCGGACGGGUGAGAAACACGUGGAUAACCUACUUAUCAGUCUGGGAUAAUCUCGGGAAACCGGCUCUAAUACCGGAUAAUAUAUUGCACCGCAUGGUGCAUUAGUGAAAGACGGCUUUGCUGGCACUUAUAGAUGGAUACGCGCCGCAUGAGGUAGUUGGUAGGGUAACGGCCUAUCAAGGCAACGAUGCGUAGCCGACCUGAGAGGGUGAUCGGCCGCAUGAGAGGGUGAACACGGACAAGGCGCCUACGAGACGGCGCAGUAGGGAAUGUGCGGCAAUGGUCGGAAGCAUGGCGGAACAGGGCGGAGUGAGAGAUAGAGGUCUUCCGAUCGUAAUGCUCUGUUAUUAGGGAUAAACAGAUGUGGCAGUAACUGAGCACGUAGUGACGGUAACUAGUAAGAAAGCCACGGCUAACUACGUG